AGUCUGAACGCUGGCGGCGUGGCUAAGACAUGCAAGUCGAACGGUGUAGCAAUACACAGUGGCGGACGGGUGAGUAAUGAAUCGCUAAUGUACCCCGAUGUCUGGGAUAGCCAUCCGAAAGGAUGGGUAAUACCAGAUGAGACCACAGAACCGCAUGGUUCGGUGCUCAAAGGGUCACCGCAUUGGGCGCAGGCGAUUUCGAUCAGCUAGUUGGUGAGGUAACGGCUCACCAAGGCGACGACGCGUAGCCGGGCUGAGAGGUCGGCCGGCCACAUUGGGACUGAGACACUGCCCAGACUCCGUACGGGGGGCUGCAGUAACGAAGUCUUCCGCAAUGCAACGAAGUGUGACGGAGCGACGCCGCGUGUAGGAUGAACGUCCGUUACGGAUAGUAACUACUAGUACGAAGGGAAAGAAGUUC
RNAcentral lists this ribosomal RNA (421 nucleotides) under uncultured soil bacterium. RNAcentral describes it as "bacterial SSU rRNA". It matches the Rfam family "Bacterial small subunit ribosomal RNA", at positions 26 to 455 of the family's 1533-position model. The record is from RNAcentral.